This 641-nucleotide long non-coding RNA is filed under the name Bos taurus (domestic cattle). RNAcentral's name for it is "long non-coding RNA NONBTAT011046". The record is from RNAcentral. Lineage: Eukaryota; Metazoa; Chordata; Mammalia; Artiodactyla; Bovidae.
GGGAGGAGAAAAUAAGACAUCUGAAUCUCCCAAGAACCUCCCAAGUCACUCAUCACAAGAGAUGACCCUGAACUCUCAGUAACAGCCUGGAAAACAGUUCAACUAAAACACUUUCUUUCCCCUCCCCCUUCCAUUCUGGUGCAGCGGGACUCCUGCAACUGUGAAGGCAUGAGGUGAGCAAAUGUCCUAAAAUACUUUCUCGAAUGAAGCUAUAUUUAUUUCAGAUACUAAACAGAAAUAUCAAUGAAGAAACUCAUUUAUGUAAGAUCAAAGUUGCACACUAAUUCCAAGAUCUGAGUUAGUCUUCUCUAGUUGCACAAUUGACCAUUUUACCAGAAAAAGUACCCAAAACAUAUCUAAAUAGAUUAAUUUAUUGGAAAUACUCAUCAUGCAACUGCUUCAGAAAUUCUGCCAGAUUCUCUCUUGUUGUAGUGGAUUGCCUCAAGAUAUGUUUUCUGUUUACUAAUGUUCUGGCUUAAAAGUCUGGCUCUUUGGCCACUAUCAUGACAUGCAACGGCAGAACAAGAGAGGCUUAGAACAGAACUGCCAACAUUUUCUUUCAUUCACCCCUUAGGUAAAUCUACUUAGCAACUCCAUGCAUAGCCUAUAAAAUUUUGUAAGGAAAAACAAAGUUUGUUGAC